Molecule: long non-coding RNA, 314 nt
Filed under: Elaeis guineensis (African oil palm)
Lineage: Eukaryota; Viridiplantae; Streptophyta; Magnoliopsida; Arecales; Arecaceae
Description: long non-coding RNA (EGUI_LNC015678)
Source: RNAcentral
UCUCAGCUCUCCAACUGUGCGUCGGUGCUCGCCAGUAGUACGAGCCCCGAUGCCACGACUUGGGCCCAACAUUCCAUUGGGAAUCUACGGUCCAAUCGCCGAUGGCACGUCGGACUCUUACGAUGACCGACAUAUCUACGUUGGAGGAAGGCCGGCGAUGGCGAUGAAAUUUUUCUAAAUUGAAGCCAUGCCCCUUCCGCAGCCAGCUCUCGAGCAAGGCGACUGGCUAACUUGCCGACUUGGCUCUGGCCAAGAAAGGCAAAACACCAAUGCGACCAACGUCGCGUUUGCGACAUACCGACCAGGUCAUGAUC